Molecule: ribosomal RNA, 446 nt
Filed under: Paracoccus indicus
Lineage: Bacteria; Pseudomonadati; Pseudomonadota; Alphaproteobacteria; Rhodobacterales; Paracoccaceae
Description: bacterial SSU rRNA
Rfam family: Bacterial small subunit ribosomal RNA
Source: RNAcentral
ACGCGUGGGAACGUGCCCUUUGCUACGGAAUAGUCCUGGGAAACUGGGGGUAAUACCGUAUACGCCCUUUUGGGGAAAGAUUUAUCGGCGAAGGAUCGGCCCGCGUUGGAUUAGGUAGUUGGUGGGGUAAUGGCCUACCAAGCCGACGAUCCAUAGCUGGUUUGAGAGGAUGAUCAGCCACACUGGGACUGAGACACGGCCCAGACUCCUACGGGAGGCAGCAGUGGGGAAUCUUAGACAAUGGGGGCAACCCUGAUCUAGCCAUGCCGCGUGAGUGAUGAAGGCCUUAGGGUUGUAAAGCUCUUUCAGCUGGGAAGAUAAUGACGGUACCAGCAGAAGAAGCCCCGGCUAACUCCGUGCCAGCAGCCGCGGUAAUACGGAGGGGGCUAGCGUUGUUCGGAAUUACUGGGCGUAAAGCGCACGUAGGCGGACCAGAAAGUUGGGGG